CCGCAUGGGAAGUACGCUCGCAAGAGGGAAAAUCAAAGGAAUUGAAGGGGACCCGCAAAAGUAGCGGAGCAUGGGGUUUAAUGCGAAGCAACGCGAAGAACCUUACAUAAGUUUGACAUCCCAAUGACAUCACCUUAAUCGGAGAGUUCCCUUCGGGGACAUUGGUGACAGGUGGUGCAUGGUUGUCGUCAGCUCGUGUCGUGAGAUGUUGGGUUAAGUCCCGCAUCGAGCGCAACCCUUGUCUUUAGUUGCCAUCAUUAAGUUGGGCACUCUAGAGAGACUGCCAGGGAUAACCUGGAGCAAGGUGGGGAUGACGUCAACUCAUCAUUCCCCUUAUGAUUAGGGCUACACACGAGCUACAAUGGGUAGUAC
This 372-nucleotide ribosomal RNA is filed under the name Clostridioides difficile. RNAcentral describes it as "bacterial SSU rRNA". It matches the Rfam family "Bacterial small subunit ribosomal RNA", at positions 869 to 1240 of the family's 1533-position model. Lineage: Bacteria; Bacillati; Bacillota; Clostridia; Peptostreptococcales; Peptostreptococcaceae. The record is from RNAcentral.